This 5905-nucleotide long non-coding RNA is filed under the name Gallus gallus (chicken). The record is from RNAcentral. Lineage: Eukaryota; Metazoa; Chordata; Aves; Galliformes; Phasianidae.
AGACUCUCCAAGGUGUUAACACCUGCCGCCAGCCCACGGGAGGCAGGUAAGGAUGGCAACAUGCACAUCCAGUUGUGGGGCAGUGCUUUUGCUGCUGGUCAUGUAACUUGCAACUUCAUGCUAGUAGCCUGUGAUAUGAAAGGAGGCACCCCUAGCAUGCUACAUUUAUUUUACUGCCUGCAGCCUUGGUAAGGGAGUGACCAUGAGCAUAAGGAGGAAAUGCUGAUAAAUUCGAUAGAGUUAAGCUAAAGUAGAUUCACUGUCCUCUAGAAAAUUCAUUUAAGUGCAGCUUCCAUUGCAUGCGAUUGCCAGGCCUACUUGCUUCACAUGGCUUUUUGCCUCUAUUUAACUAGGAGGCAGAUGGAUACUUAAGAUGAAAUAUCCAAAGCAGGAUGCACGCAAAAAUCACUGCCUCAUAAGAUUGGCACUUGAGCUGCUUGGGUGAGCAUCUUGCAAGAAAGGUUCACUCUUCUGUACAGUCAAAGACGACAGUGUUAACGGUGGAAGAUCAAUCUUUAUUUAGAAGGACAGAAAUCACCUCUGCCAACUUUUCCAUUACUAAUAGUUCUCCCAGCUGUUUCAGCUACAGGAUUAAUGACUCAUUUCCCAGCAGUUCAUUGAAAUGGCCUUCUGUACCCAGGUGAGCUCUCAUUUAAGCUGAUUAUUAAAAAAAGCAGCAGCCCUCACAGUAGAACAGAGAGGUUGAGGCUCUCUGAGCUCAGGCACUCAUGGAAAUAAGCAGAGAAGCAGAACUCUUUCCUGUUUUUUCAACUGGUUUAGCCCUGGGAGGAGACUUGUCACUUCAUGCUGAGAGAGGAGAAAAGAAUGAGCUAUCCAUCUCUUGCAGUGCUACAGCUGGUGGUGCUGCUGCUCCCUGAGGAGCCCCUGCCUGUAUUCCUCCUCCAUUUCAGGAUGCAGAAGUUGGGAGGAAGAAAGGGGAAAGCCGCUGUGUGUCUAACCUUGCAGAUCUGCAUUCACCCCUUCAGUGAGCUCAGCUUAGGAGUAUGAUGAAACUGACAUUGGAUGCGAGGUAGGAAUGGUGACAAUUCCUCCAGAGCCAGACUUUUACCUACUUCUUGUCCUGGACUGCUGUUGCAGUGACUGCUUAGAGCCUGGCUCUGGUGUUCUGCGCUGUCAGGAAGUUGCUGAUGAUCCCAGACACCACCUCGGGUUCAUUGAGGUGCACAAAAUGACUCCCAGGCACCUCUACCAGCUGGAUGUCCUAGAGGGAAAAGACAAAUAGAAAUAGCGCAGGAAAGUGUUCCUUCAGGCAAGCUGUGCUUGCUGUGUGGUACCUACUGGGAAGGAAGCCAGAGGAAACAAUGCAAAAAUGGUGUCUCAAAGAAAGGUUGGAUUUUACAUUGCUAUAGUUGACUGCAGAUACACCAGCCACUGACAAACCCAUCACAGAAAGAUGACAGUCCAACAGGGAGGCAGGACAGGGAUGGGAGUAACUGGGAAGAGCUAUAUCUGGAAGGCAGUACUGAUUAGGUCUUUGGCUGUAAGGGCAAAGCUUCCUUCCCUUCCAUCCCUCCAUGUGAGGACUGGGCUGUUUAGGACAAAUCCCCUGCUGUGGAUGUCCUCUAAGGUAAGGUAAUUCCUAGCUGCUUCCAGGUUGGUGCCCAGUGAAGUGGAUGGAGAUGCAAAGAUGGAGAUUGUGCUCACCUCUUUGAGGGUAUGCUCAAAUGCCUCCCGUAAGGAUUUCACAAACUGAUUUCUGCUCUCUAGCUUGUGUGGUACCAAGAGUCCAUCUUGUGCUCUGAAAAGUAAGAGCAAGGCUCAGUAAAGCACAUGGUGUGCCUCUCUGUGGCUGUCUCCUGGGCAGAAGCAGUGUCCCCAGGACAGAUUGGGAUGGCAGGCCCAGCUGCUCUGCAGGCUGCCAGUAAGCAGCACAGUUACAGGUUCAUGCAUGGUAGUCAGAGGAGCAAGGCACAGCUUGGCUAAGCAGCUAUUAUCUAUCAAGCUAUCUGUUUAAUACUUGGAGUACUGCCUAGUAGUAUCACAGGGAGACAGGUUAAAUAUUAUCCACCCAGGACUGGCUCCUUAACUUGUCUCAGUAUACAAUUCCCUGCCCUUACCCUAUCUUCUGCUCUUGGCUUUAUUCCUUUCAGCCAGCUUCUGCAUCUCACCUCUGUCCCUUUCCCUCCUCCAUACUGCUGCUUGAACGCUAUAAUCACAGUUCCUGCCCUACUUGGAGCAGGAGGCACCAGGGCUGCUCCCCUGAAGAAACCAGUGUUAGACUCCCUGUAGAAUUAAGAUUGUGCUGCAGGUACCUAGAUGAAGGGAUGUCUGAGGCUUAAGGGGAUGUGCUCUGUAUGGCCAGGAGGACCUGUCCUCACCAUGAUGUUGCAUUUUUCUGCUCUGGACAAAUAGGAAAAGUCAAAGAACAAUGCUCACAUGAUUUGAACAGCCUAGAGAAGCCAAAACUGAAUCUUAUUUCUCAGCUCCUAGCACCUCCUCAUUUCCCCUUGACAGCAUGGGCCAACAUCACCAGAACCUUGCACACCUUGACCUCUAAGGAGACAGCAAAAAACGCAGGAGGACAAACAGCACCCAAACCAGACAGAUGGCUGAUGGCUUGUGGGGCUCCAGGUAAAGACACUGGCUGCCUCCCCAGCAUCUCCUCCCUGCCCUGGGGCUAGGUCAGGCUCCAGAACCAGCUGGAACAGGUGAAGGCUGCAGUGGCUUCACUGUUUGUACAGCACGAGGAGGAGAGGGCAGGUGGGUUACUGCUGAAGGAAGAGGCCACAAGGGAAGUAUGCAGGAAUGAUGAUGGAAAGGCUCACGUGUCUGCCAGGAUGUUCCCUUUGCUCAAAGCCAAGGGAUGAACAGAUGGGGAGGAGCCCUUCUAGCCAUCGCCCCUUCACACAGGGUGGCAGUGAAGGCUGGUUUUACUUGUGCCUCACUCACAAAAUGAUGAGAACGCGGUCCUUGAUCUUCUGCAGGAGCUUCACACACUGUUCCACCGUGAGGUACUCUCGACUCUGCUGCAGGUGCAAAAACAGAGCAACAAAAGUCAGGGACAGCAGCUGAGGAUAGAGGGUGUCCUCAAGCCCUGUGCGGGAGAGGCUGAGGCCCCACGGCUGCUGUGCUGAGACAGGACAGGCUGCCAGGCUGCACACAAGAGCGCCUGGCUCUGCAACUGCUCCUUCUAUCCAGAUGUGUUUCAGGGCUGCCAACAGCACUGCCUGCUGGGUUGCAGCACAUAUGGGAAUGAUCUCACAGCAGAGAAAAUGCUUUAAAAAGUCCUUUUACUAAAAAGGAGAUAAUACAAUACUCUAGUUUUCAUAGCCUGGCAGUAGCACAGGUAGAGGACGCCCUCCUUAGACAAUAGUGGCACAAUGCUAUCAACAUAUCAGAUGCAAAGACUUUGUUCCACUCCCUCCCCCUUUCCUGUAAGGGUGACCUGACAAAAAAGCUGACCUAAAACAUCCAUCCAUCUGCUGCCUUAAGAGUUACAACAGCAGGAAAAUGUGGCCAGGAGGCCCUGGGGCUCAGGAACUGCUAAAAAAUUCAGUAACAUUUUCCAGUGACUCUAAGCUGAGUCAGUUAAUGAUCAAGUGCAGGCUCUUUUAAAAGCACCAUUUAAAAGAGGUGUGGGAAUUAGGGAAGCACUAAGUAAACGGUUGGGUGGAGGGAGGGCCUGGGCUCAGUGAGUGGGCCUCCGCUACCUCUGUUUUCUGUAAGCUCAGGGCUCAGAAGCAGCAGGGGGCAAGUCAGAACAGCAAUGCUCACCGUACGGACUCUCAUGUCUCUGUUAUACACCAGCCCUGCAAGGAAAACAAGAGAAGGCUUUCAUGUCUCAUAGAAACAGGAGUUGCUCUGCCCCUCGCCUCUGGGGUCUGCCCAAGACUUCUUGAGGUAAGAGGAGUAGGAUUAACUCAAAUAUCUCCUUCUUUAUUUUUUCUUCCUUUACUCAUUCUAGGACUCGAGCUCCAAUGUCAGUUGCUGGGAAAUGAGAGCUUUGCCUCCAGACUUAAUUGAUCCCAUUCAGGCUAUGUAAACUCAUAGCUAGGGCACCCUGGACCCUGUGGAAGACAAUGGUUGUUGGCGCUGCUCCCUUCCCACACCCGGUGUUGGGCCAGCCCUCAGAUGAGCCCUGUCUCCAAGCAGCCCCUUACCAGUGGGUGUCUCAGUUGCUCCUCGCUGCAGCAGGAUUGCCCCACCCUCUGCUGUCAGAUGUCUGUUUGCUUCUAAGAGCCUGGAGGAGACAUGGCAGAGACAUUGUGCUGCUGAAAAAAGGAGGAAGCGAAGCGAAAACGGCAUGACAAGGUGACAGCAAGCUCUCAGGCUGCUUCAGAGAAGAGCAGGAAGCUGACUGCAGAAGCAAAAAGUCUUGCUGAGAUACCAGAAGAGAACUUGAAUGGGCAGAACCGUGACAGUUUCCCGUUAUGGUUCAUGUAGCCAUAACUGCCCAAGGUAAAGACGGGCAGCAAAUGAAGAGACAGCUGGGAACCCACCUCUGCAAUGCUGCUUCAGGGCUACGUGCUUUGGGAGCUUGCUGCUUUGCUUCUAGACUCAGUAAUCUAUCGAUAGCCAGCCGCUUUGAUUUCAGCCAUGCCUCAGUGUCCUAAAACAAAGAGAUGUACAGCGCAGGAAUAACCUCCCUCUUCUGAGUCACGUUAUGCCUUAUCAGAGGGUAGAAGAGGGUAUUUUACCCGUCAGCAUCUCUCAGAGCUAGUACCAGUUAUGGACAUAUUAAAAAUGCCCACUUCUCAAGGAAAGAGAACAGCAAUACAUAAGAGGCAAGAUAGGAGCAGAAAACUAAGCACUGUUGUAUAGAAAUUUUAACUUUUCACCCUCAUAAUCUCUUUUACCUCCUCCCACUUCACUUUUGAAUUGAAGACAACCCUCUAAAAAAACAAGGUAAAUCUAGGAUCUUUUGCCUCUCUGACCCUGGGCUUCCAUCCCACUUCUGUCUACCAAACCCCCAGCACCUGGUACUGAUAAUGGCAGUCUGGGAAUGUAGCUUUAUGUCCUGCCAGGAGCAGAAAAAAUCUGCCAGCCUUGCGCUCGGGUCACCCAACAAGCUGUUGGCAAGAAAACAGCCUUGGCAAGCAGUUAGCUGCUUGGACAGAGGUUCCAAUUCCUUUUGCACAUGGGCACGGCAUAGACAAGUGAAUUUCAGUGCUACAGGACUGCAGGAUGCUCCCCAAGGGCCACCCUAAACAGGGUCUUACUUCACGCAACAGGGAGCACAUCUGUGCUUGCCAAAGAAGUUUCGAGAAUGGUGUGACCUGCCAGGAACUGGGCACAUCAGUGUUUUCUUUGAACAAGCGAGGGGAAGACAAAAACAUUUCUUUCUAUUUUAAAAAAGGGAAGGACACAUGAAGUCUAACCUCUGGAGCUAGUAGAAAGCCAAGAUUUUCCAGCAAGAUCAGCUUGUCCACCAUCUCAGGAUAAAUGAAAGCAAACUGAAGAAAGAUGAAACAUUAUGAGACAAAGAGAAAAGCUGCGCAUUGAGUGCUGUUUUCAUCCUGCCGUACAGAAAAGGGGGUUAGAAAAGGGCCUCUCCUUCCCCAGGAUCCAAGACCCAUACAGUGUUUCUUCAUUCCUCUCCCAUUUGUUGUUCCACCUGCAAAAGUCACAAACCCCAUGAAGAAAGUAUGCUCUACUCACCAUUCCUGCCACAGACCCACCCAUACUGUGACCCAUCAGGGUGAACCGUCUCCACCGCAAUGCUAAAUGGCAACAGACAAAAACAGACAGUGAUGCAUUAGAAACCAGAGCUGCGGCAUCUUGCUGCUCCCCCACCAACACAGGCCCCUUCUCCCAAGAGGGCUUCUGCAAUGCUUAAUUUGCUUCCUAAUCCAGAAAUGAGGUGGCUAAGUAGGCCCAUUUUAAAGAAGAAGAACAUCCACCACCUCAUUUCUUUGGUAGUUAUCUCACACAGCUCUCACUCUGC